RNAcentral lists this long non-coding RNA (1349 nucleotides) under Lactuca sativa (garden lettuce). RNAcentral describes it as "long non-coding RNA (LSAT_LNC009880)". Lineage: Eukaryota; Viridiplantae; Streptophyta; Magnoliopsida; Asterales; Asteraceae. The record is from RNAcentral.
AAUCUGAGAUAUAUAUAAAAAAGACAUAGUAAUAAUCAUGAUAACUAAAACAUUCAACAAUUCACACUUCAUUCUGGUACACAAAAAAGUAAAAACAUAAAGAAAAAGAUAAGCACGACAUCCUCAUGUUUGUUAAAUAACUAAAAUAAAAACAACAAUUUUUCAUGAACUAAAUAGCAAAAUCCACAAAGCUUGGGCCGGCUUCAUCAUCUUUUAUAACUUCAAUAACUUGUCCAUUUGUUGCUCUAACAACCUGCCCAUCUGUAGUUCCAACAACAUCAACACUUGGUUGUGGGGGCUAUCUAUCCUGAGUGUCAGUGCGAAAAAAAACAAAAAAAUAUGGUUGAAAUCGGAUUGAUAGAACAUAGAUGCCGCUAAAAAGAUGUAGUUUGCUAGAAAUUAGAUUCAUUGAUAAUACAAAAAACAAUUACAUAUAUGUAGUAAAAAAGAUGUUGUAAAAACAAUGCACUUUGCUAGAAAUCAGUUCCACUUUAUGCAACAAUUAGAUUUCUGUUUUACUAGAAAUCAUAUUUUAGUUACAACCAAAACAGAAAAAAAAAAUGUUGACUUAAUAAGUUUCUACUUUCUACUUUCUAGACAAACAUUUAACAAAUAUGUUACAGCAAAAAAAGAUUCAGUGGCUGCAAUCAAGUUGAAGGCAUGAUAUUGAUUAUAACAAAAUGAAGUGUAAGAAAUCGAGUGACUAAGUUGUCGAUUGUAACCAACAUCACUAAAAAAAGAUACAAAUCCAUCAGUUUAAUAGGUUAACAUCAAAAUUGAGUGUAAUAAAAUAAAAUCAAAAGCAUGUAACAAAUAAGUUACAGGUGAAAAAGAUUCAAUGGUUGUAAUCAAGUUCAAGGCAUGAAAUUGAUUAUAACAAAAUUGAGUGUAAGUAAUCUAGUGAUUAAGAAAUUGAUUAUAACCAGCAUCACUCAAAACAUAUACAACCAAAAAUCAUUCAAUCAAGAAAUCGCUUAUACCAGAAUCGAUUAUACUAGAAAUCGACUAUACAAGAAAUCGAUUAUACUAGAAUCGAUUAUACCAGAAAUCGAUAAUACCAAAAUCGAGGGUAAGAAAAUAAAAUUGAAAACUUACAUGGGCUUAGGAUUUUGGGAUGAAGCUGGAACUUCUUGAUUCCAUGAGCGUUGAAUUGGUGAUGAUAGCAAGGUAGCUUGAAGGUGAAACAUUGAUGUCGUGAUUUUGUGAAGAACUAAGAAUCAAAGACAAAGGGUGGCCGCAUCUUUUAUAAUGAAAUCAAAAUUUUUUAUUCUAGGAAAGGAGAUUAGAGAGAGAGUGAGAUCAGUUAAUGGCUUGAAGAAACGAGGAGUCAAUUCUGAAGCGUCGUCUUG